GGCGGAUAGGAAUUGAGACUUUCAAUGGUCCGCUCUUCUCUCCUCGUGAUCGAAGCUGACCCCAGAAGUUGGGUAUUCCUUCUUAAGAGGACACUAACCCUCCCGAUCUUGCUAGCCGGGGGCUCAGUCUUUCAAGAUUCAAUCUUUCCCCUUCCGGUCCCAGGGAAUCGCUCUCGAUUGCUGCUUGAUUACCUAUGUCGGUUGCGUUAAGCUUUCAGUUCUGCACAAAGCGCAGGUGGGCGCCGCCCUUUUGAAAGCUUAGUAGCUGCGAGACCUGUCAAGUUCCCACUUGAUCCUGCAAGUCUAUAGUCUAUACUUCUUGCUUUGAUGGCAAUCGUUGGUCGCUUGCUUGAUUGGAAGGACUGAUGCAAUUAUACCUUUCCUGUUCUCGCUACUACUUACUAUUACUACGUAAAUAGUUUCUUUUAGCAUUCGUCCUUCAAAGAGCUUUAUUCGCCCCUUACUUAGCUUAGGAGUGGGGGAAACUGAACAUCAAUCAAAUAAGUAGGUUUAUUUCAGAGGAAAUUCUUGAAUUUGGAAUGAAAAGAGGAGUAAUGCUUCCUAGCACGGGACAAAGAAUA
This 581-nucleotide long non-coding RNA is filed under the name Solanum melongena (eggplant). RNAcentral's name for it is "long non-coding RNA (SMEL_LNC000120)". The record is from RNAcentral. Lineage: Eukaryota; Viridiplantae; Streptophyta; Magnoliopsida; Solanales; Solanaceae.